ACGAGCGCAACCCUUGUCCUUAGUUACUAACAUUAAGUUGAGCACUCUAGGGAGACUGCCGGUGACAAACCGGAGGAAGGUGGGGACGACGUCAAGUCAUCAUGGCCCUUACGGCCAGGGCUACACACGUGCUACAAUGGGUUGUACAGAGGGUUGCGAAGCCGCGAGGUGGAGCUAAUCUCAGAAAACAACUCGUAGUCCGGAUCGGAGUCUGCAACUCGACUCCGUGAAGUCGGAAUCGCUAGUAAUCGCGAAUCAGAAUGUCGCGGUGAAUACGUUCCCGGGCCUUGUACACACCGCCCGU
RNAcentral lists this ribosomal RNA (304 nucleotides) under uncultured Gammaproteobacteria bacterium. RNAcentral's name for it is "bacterial SSU rRNA". It matches the Rfam family "Bacterial small subunit ribosomal RNA", at positions 1092 to 1397 of the family's 1533-position model. Lineage: Bacteria; Pseudomonadati; Pseudomonadota; Gammaproteobacteria. The record is from RNAcentral.